This 253-nucleotide ribosomal RNA is filed under the name uncultured bacterium. RNAcentral's name for it is "partial 16S ribosomal RNA". It matches the Rfam family "Bacterial small subunit ribosomal RNA", at positions 524 to 776 of the family's 1533-position model. The record is from RNAcentral.
UACGAAGGGGGCUAGCGUUGCUCGGAAUUACUGGGCGUAAAGCGCACGUAGGCGGUCUUUUAAGUCGGGGGUGAAAUCCUGGAGCUCAACUCCAGAACUGCCUUCGAUACUGGAAGACUUGAGUCCGGGAGAGGUGAGUGGAACUGCGAGUGUAGAGGUGAAAUUCGUAGAUAUUCGGAAGAACACCAAAGGCGAAGGCAGUGUCCUGGGUGGUCGCUGACGCUGAGAGGCGAAAGCCAGGGGAGCGAACGGG